RNAcentral lists this ribosomal RNA (440 nucleotides) under uncultured bacterium. RNAcentral's name for it is "partial 16S ribosomal RNA". It matches the Rfam family "Bacterial small subunit ribosomal RNA", at positions 338 to 795 of the family's 1533-position model. The record is from RNAcentral.
CCUACGGGGGGCUGCAGUGGGGAAUAUUGCACAAUGGGGGAAACCCUGAUGCAGCGACGCCGCGUGAGUGAAGAAGUAAUUCGUUAUGUAAAGCUCUAUCAGCAGGGAAGAAAAUGACGGUACCUGAGUAAGAAGCCCCGGCUAACUACGUGCCAGCAGCCGCGGUAAUACGUAGGGGGCAAGCGUUAUCCGGAUUUACUGGGUGUAAAGGGAGCGUAGACGGCAGUGCAAGUCUGGAGUGAAAGGCGGGGGCGCAACCCCCGGACUGCUCUGGAAACGGUACGGCUGGAGUGAAGGAGAGGUAGGUGGAAUGCGUGGGGGAGCGGUGAAAUGCGGAGAUAUUGGGAGGAACACCAGUGGCGAAGGCGGCUUACUGGACUGUAACUGACGUUGAGGCUCGAAAGCGUGGGGAGCAAACAGGAUUAGAUACCCCUGUAGUC